UUUAAGUGCAACAAUAAGUUUUCAUGUCCAAUUUUAAUUGCCCGUCUUAUUUUUUUUAUGAUUAGUAUUUUUAUUGUUAUUAGAUGAUAAAACAUGAAUAAUACUUUAUGUGUGACUUAUGUUUUUAAUUUUUUUAAAUUAUUUUAAAUAAGAUAAACGAUUAAAGUUAAACAUGGAAAAUCAUGCUUGCACUUAAA
This is a non-coding RNA of Oryza barthii, 197 nucleotides long. NCBI's taxonomy places the organism in Eukaryota, Viridiplantae, Streptophyta, Magnoliopsida, Poales, Poaceae. The record is from Rfam.